Molecule: small RNA, 46 nt
Filed under: Candidatus Sulfotelmatobacter kueseliae
Lineage: Bacteria; Pseudomonadati; Acidobacteriota; Terriglobia; Terriglobales; Candidatus Korobacteraceae
Description: Acido-Lenti-1
Rfam family: Acido-Lenti-1 RNA
Source: RNAcentral
CCCAGCGCUGAAGCGCUGGGCUAUUAUCUCGCGCCCCUCCGGGGCG